UACGGGGGGGGCAAGCGUUGUUCGGAAUUACUGGGCGUAAAGGGCGCGUAGGCGGCUUUUCAAGUCGGGCGUGAAAUCUCCGGGCUUAACCCGGAAGGGUCGUUCGAUACUGUUGAGCUAGAGUGUGGAAGAGGCAACUAGAAUUCCGUGUGUAGCGGUGAAAUGCGUAGAUAUCUGGAGGAACACCGGUGGCGAAGGCGGCAUCCUGGACCGGUAUUGACGCUGAGGCGCGAAAGCCAGGGGAGCAAACGGG
Molecule: ribosomal RNA, 253 nt
Filed under: uncultured bacterium
Lineage: Bacteria
Description: partial 16S ribosomal RNA
Rfam family: Bacterial small subunit ribosomal RNA
Source: RNAcentral